AACCUAACAAUUUUUGAUGAAGUUCUUUCUCACACUAUCGAAUCAUCCACAACCACAACUCUCUUUCCCUCCAACCACAACCUUACAGGAGAGACUCGAGAGAGCUUAAGCUUGACACCAAAGUCCCUAAUUUUCUGGGAAGGCUCAAUGAAAGUUCUCCCAACAUAAUGUGACCUUAUCAACCCUUGUUGAAAUGGCACCCUGGCUUUCGCAGCGUACUCAAGUGCAGCCACCACUCCAGAAUCUGGUACUGCAAUCACAACUUCACACUCAACAGGAGCCUCGGUAGCAAGUACUUCCCCAAAAUGAUACCUCGACUCAUAAACAGACCUACCAAAAACAACAGAAUUGGGCAAAGCAAAAUAAAUAUGCUCAAAGAUGCACUGCUUAGGUUCAGGGUGAGGCAUCAAACAAAGUGAUUGAACCCCAUCUUUAUCCACCAUCAAAACUUCACCGGGAUAUACCUCUCUCUCUCUCUCUCUCUCGUAAGUGGCCUCAAUCAAAUAGUGCACAAGUCUCUGACGCAAAAACCAGAGCACUAUUACUCCUCCUACCCAUCACCAACGGCAUAAACCCAUACGGGUCACGGACUGCAACAAACUUAUCCUCAGUAACAAACACCAUUGAAUAAGCACCCUCAAGCUUCUCACAAACAUCCACAAUCCUCAAAAAGAACGGCCUAGCUUUCGAUAUCGGAAUCAAAUGGAGAACAACCACAGUAUCAGAACUAGUAUUAAAAAUGGACCCAUUAUCUUCAAGCUUAGCCCUCAAAGUGUUAUAAUUAACUAAUGUGGAACACCAACAGAACCAAACCUGUACCCAGCAACAAAAGGCUGCACAUUCUUAAGCAUAGAACUACCCGCAGUCGAAUAUCUAACAUGACCAAUGGCCAUAUCACCCGGCAAUUGAUCAAGUUUAGACUGAUUAAACACAUCAGGGACUAAACCAACACCAGUAAUAGACUGAAGAACUUUCACAGCAACUAUACCUGCACCUUCUUGGCCGCGAUGCUGCAUCGCGUGUAGCACCAAAUAGCACAAACGGGAGGCCUCUGGGUCACCAUAGAUGCCCACAACACCACACUCCUCACGGGGCUUAUCGUCGUCGUCAUCAUCAAAACUGCCAAAACCGUCAUCUGGGUAUUCUUUAUUUGUGGUGAAAAACUCAGAGAUGGGGUUUUUUGAUAGAACAGUGAAGUUAUUUUUGUGGAUUAAAGAUUGUUGUUUCUGAGGGAAAAAAGGGUUUUUUUGCAGGGUUUUGGAGAAAAGAGAAACAUGGGUUUUUUGCGACGGCUUAGGGUUAGCAGAGGGAGAUGGGUUUGAGAGAGGGCAGAUAUUGGCGGUGCCUGUGGUUGUGGCUGCCAUUAAUGGCUGAAUUUAUUCUAUUUUAUUUUAUUUUUUGGGUUGCCUUGCUCAAAGAAAAAACAGAGGUGGUGUGUGGAGGGAGACAGUGACGAAGGGUACUUUAAGUCGAGGGGAACUUGUUCUAGGUUUUUUUCUGGAAUUGUGAGGGAAUCUGAUCCUGUGUUUGUGCAUAUGAUUCAAUUACUUAUAGCUGAUACUGUUGUGUCACCACAAAAUCUAAUUGGGAAGCUUCAGCUGUCAAUUUUUUUCCAAGGGUUAAUUAGGUAGAACUUUCAUGUCGUCGAUUUUAUUUGGAGAUUCUAAAAGUAGUUUCCAAAUAAAGAGAUGGACCAAAAUCAACAAUGUGACAAAGAUACUUUAGAUUUUUUUUACUUGUGGGACAUGAAAAUUGAUGCAUGUUCCAAUGCAUUGCUCUAUCAGAAUUGGAAUUAAACUUAGUUUGUAUUCUCCUAUUCCGAAAGCAAAACUUAUAAGUGAUAUUCUAAGAAGAAGAAAUUAAGAACCAUAACAAAUUUGAAGAUUCUAAUUUGCUAGAAAUAUUGCAAUCCAAAACUAAGAAAGUUAAAACCAAUUAUUAGAAGAAAAAAGCAAGACGGAAGCUCCCAGAAUAUUGUUAUGUGUUGUGUGUUUCAGUUUGUAUUUCCCAAUCAAUAAGAAAAAGUAAGUACACAUGUUACAAAACUUUAAUAAAAAAGAUUGGAGGUGACAAAAUCGUCAAUCUUCUAAUUAACUUUCUCUCCUUUCAAAUUUCCUGAGUUUGGUAGAGACUGCUUAAGUGGUGUAUCUGUUAUAAACAGGCAAAACUAUGUUGCAACAGUGGUAUGGUACCACUGUUGCAACCAGCCAUUGGAUGCAUAGUUGUACAGUUACAUUAGCAAGAUCUAAUGGUUGAAAGCAACAAUGGUACUGUACUACUGUUGCAACAUAGCUGGACCCAUUAUAAACACCUGAAGUCAAAGUUAAUGUUUUAAUUGUUAAGAAAAGUUAGAAGAAGAAAUUUUUGUAUAAGAGAAUUGGGUUUAAAUUUUAGAAUUCUUUGGGAGGAAAUGAGUCUAAAUUCCAAUAAUAUAAUUCAGCACUAUUUAUAUAUAUCAUUAGUUGGGUGAAAAAUUAAUUUCCCUCCUUUGAUGUGAUUUUCAUCAUUUAUUUUCAUAUGAUGGUAAUUUUUUGUUUAGAGUGAAGUUAUUGGCACCCUUUCAUUAUCCUUAUAAAAUCCUACUUCAAAUAAAAUUACACUUAAAGACAAUAGAAUUAAAUAAAAUAGUUUUUUUUUCAAACAAAUUACUCACAUUCAUAAUUUUUUUUCUUCUAAUUUUCUACAGGUUGCUUUGUAUCUAACUAAAAUCAAUUGUACAAAUUUAGAAUAAUUUAUUAUUCUUUUUAAAUUUCUUAUUGAUUAAAUAUUUGUGUGCUUAAGAUAGUUUUAAAAUUAUAAGAUAAUAUAUAUAUAAUUUAAGCCAAUGAUUAACAUUAAAAAAUUUAUCUCUCAUAAAAGUUUUUAAUUUGUGCGUAGGGUAAUAAUAAAAUUGCAAAAGAAAUGAAAAAUAGCAUAGCACUAUUUUGAGUUUAAACAAUAAAAAAUUAAAUGAAAAAUUAGAAGUGUAUUUAAAAAAAGGAUAUUUUUGAAAAUAAAUAUAAUUUAAAACAAAAAAAAAAAAGAGUUUCAUGAGGGGUGCAAUAGUUCAACUCUUUUGUUUAUAAGUUUUAAGAUGUUGGUAUCCGUAGCUUAGCUUUUCCCUAAUUAUUAUAUUAAAAUGUAACAACAAUGAUGAUAAACCCUAAUUUCAUGGAGGUCAAAGAUUUUGGUCAUGCCGCAUUAAUUAGUUCGGUCAUACUUUCUACAAAUUUAUUUACAUUUAAUAAUUUGACCAAGACUAGGUAAGGCGCCGCUUGGAGUCAUAGAAUUUUAUAUGUCAAAAGUGCGUUUCACUUCAAUUAAGCCAUAAAUGUCGUUUAAUAUGCUCAUUUUGUAUUUUUUUUUUAAAAAGUUUUAUUAGUUUUUUGGUUUUUAAAAAUAUCAUUUAUUGGAGUUGCUAAAGUUGGUGGCGAAAUUGAUGGAAUUCUAGUAUCUCAUAAGGUAUCUCAUGAUUUAGUGCUAGCUUCCAAUCAACGUAAGAACAAAGGCAAAAACGAAAGUAAUGUUGGGCUUACAAAUGAGGACGAGGAGGAAAUAGAAAUGGGCUUGGUUAUUUCCGAUGCUAAAAGGCGAAGGUCUGAAAUUGGGCUGGAGGAAAAUGUGGAUCCUCAAAGUGGCACAUCUACUAUUAUGGAAAUGGUUAUGGUACCAAAAAAGGGGUUAGCGGUGGGUCCUGUCGAUCAGGCCCACUGCUCCCAAUGAGUACCCUUAGCUGGAACUGUCGUGGGCUAGGCCACCCACGGACAGUUCAGGUUCUGACAGAGUUGGUCAAAUCUAGAAAACCUUCUUUUAUUUUUUUAAUGGAAAUUCUUUGUUACAGACAUCAAUUGGAGCAUCUUAAACAAAAAUUAGGCUUUGAAAAUUUAUUUGUGGUGGAUCGAUUGGGCCGUAGUUGUGGGUUGGCAUUACUUUGGAAAGCCAAGUUUAAUGUUAGACUUUUAAAGUUUGCAAAAAAUUUCAUUGAUAUAGCUGUGAGUGAAACGGGUUCGGAUAUGGGUGAAUGACGGUUGACUGGUUAUUAUGGGUAUCCGGAAUUUGCUCGAAGACGAGAAUCUUGGAAUCUCCUCCGCCAUCUUGCUAACAGCUCCUCUCUUCCUUGGGUUUGCUUAGGGGACUUCAAUGAUCUUCUCUCCAGUGCUGAGAAACGAGGGAAGCGAGCUCACCCCAGUUGGAAGUUUAAUGGGUUUCGUGAGGCUGUGUCUGAUGCUGGUUUGGUGGACUUGGGAAUGGAGGGAUACCAAUUCACUUGGGAGAGGUCCCGGGGUACAAAUGCGUGGGUUGAUGAGUGAUGGGUGUCGAAGCCAGCAAAAAUAAAUACCUACUCUAAAUAAAUUGUGUAUAGUAAUUGAGCAGGGUCGUGUUCACAGAGAUCGGUAAUUAUUUAAAUCCUUUUGAAACGUAAAACGUAAAAUGGGGGAAUUGUUGAUAAUAAUAAAAAUCAAAUUAAAAUAACAAGAAUGCAAAUUAAAGUUGUAAUUCAAAUUAGAGAAAGCUCUGGUUGAAGGAAUUAACUCAGCUUGAUUCGACUACUGAUCAUUGAUUCAAAUAUAGAUUAUUAUUACUUAAAAAUAGACUGGUUAUAGCUAUUGAGACCCUCUAAUAGCCAAUCUCUCCUUAACUAGUCGAUAACCAAGGUACAAUCGUUGGUUAUUUCCCUAAUCAAUAGACAACCCUAGAUACGAUCAUAGGAUUUAAUCAAUUGACAGCCUGAAAAACCAGAGAGACCCAAAUCCUAAUAAACACAUCUGAUGAUUCAUUUAAAUUAGAUUGUUUAUUCUCACAACACAACUCUCUGCUAUGUUAUUUGUCACAAACAUUAAAUUCUUCAUACGAUGAAUCCUUUAAUUGACAAUAGAUUAAGUUGAUAAUUAAAUAGUGGCCAAUUACCUAAUUAACAAACUUGAUCAUGAAAAUAAUACAGAGAAUAAACAAAUACCCAAAAAGCAAUAAAACAAUUAAAGCACAAGAAAGAUCUCACAGUAGUGAUGAAUCAAAGCUUCAUUAUCCUUCAACCAGAAAAAUAAGUUUAGUUCUUCAUAGAGAGAAGAGAAAAAUUAAAAUCUAGGGUUUCUUUCUUUUCCUCCAAUCUAAAAUCCCCUAUUUUUCACAAUAGAUUCCUCCCUUAAAUACUCUCUCUCUCUUCUCCUCUAGAAUUCUAUUUAAAAUAAAAUACUAAUAUCUGAAAUAUUAAAUUCGUAAUUACAAAAAUAACCAAAAAUACAAAACACGUUAAACUAAAAACUGCAGGUCCGCAGUUAACAGCACGCACCCACGCCUUAUCAAUAAAGUUCUUCUGAUGCUCAUAAUUUCUCUAAGAGAACAAUCAUCCUUAAACAUCAUCUUAUAGCUCAAUUUUAUCACCAAUCAAUAGAAUUGCACCUACAAAAGUAAAACACAAGUAAAUUACUAUUAUUAAGUGCAAAACAUCGAUAUUAAGGGAAGUAAACAAUGCAAAACUAGUGCAUAAAUUGCACUCUAACAAAUUCCCCCACACCAAGAUGAUGCUUGUCCUCAAGCAUAUAACUCAAGAUUAUUCCCAAAUCUCCACUCAAUUCUCAUCUCAACUCAUCCAAAAAUAAUUUUAAGCAAGCAUACCUCAAGAAAUUAAGUCGAUCAACAUUCGAGAGACAAGGAUUUUAAAGCAUAGAAUUUCAUAAGAUAGAAUAAGAACAUUCAACCACCAAGAAGAUCCAUUCAAAAUUCAAGUGCAACAAGAUUUAAUAGCCCUCUCAAUAACUUCACUCCAUGCACUCAAAGUGUUUAGAGUGUCAUUUAUCCACUCAAAUCAAAUCAAAGAAUGCUAUUACCAUAAGCUUGCUCAUAUAUCACAUCUCAAUCCACAAAACAUGAAUAAAAUGCAAAAAUCUAAGGGUCUUAAAAGGGUUGUAAUGAGGUUAAAUGGGUGAAAUGAAAAAGAAAGGUCUACGAAGGAAAAAGAGAUCAAAACGAGAAGAAUGAACUCAUUGAAUGAACUUAUGAUAUCAAAAUGCUUAUUUCUACUCAAGUCACCAAGAAUGUAAACAUUUUUUUUCUUUUUUUUAAUUUUUCUUUUUCUUCUUUUUCUUCUUUUUUUUUCUUUUUUUUCUUUUUUUUUUGUUUUUGAAUCAAACAAAAGAAACAAACCUUGCACAAUUUAAUUCAAGCAUAAUGCUUGUUGAUCUAAUUGAGAAACUUUAAUACAAGGUAGAAAAAGCAACAAAAUAUAUUCACACAAUGAGUCCAAAAAUCUCCUUAAAUCGAGGCUCAAAAGAAGAAAAAUGGUUAAGUCGACGGAGAGAAUUAGAUGGGUAAUGGUUAAGGCUCAAACAAAGGUAGCAAAUAAAGGUCUUCGGGUAGAGAAAAAAAAAUGCAAGAAUAGAGAAAUGGAAUAUGGUUUGCCCUUAUCAUUUUAAUGCAUAAAAUCCCGUAAUGUGGCUUCAACAUGCAUAACAAAGCAAGUUCUAGAAUAAACAAACUAGGAUUGAUAUUCACAUAACAAAAAAAUAAUUAGAGCAAAGUGGUUGCUCAUAGGCUCAAAUCCUUACAAAGUUGAUAAAUUUGCCAUCAAAUCAUGUACACUCUUCAAAUGAAUCAACCAUCAAUAGUGGUGUAGAAUGAGAAGAAGGUAUGAGUGAGAUAUAAAAGGAAAGGUAAAAAAAAAAAUGUGAGUAAUGAAAGAGUAUGAUAGAAAGAAAAAAAAAUAGAUGUAAAUAAUUUGAGAUAGAUGGGAAAAGAGUAGUGAGAAAGAAAAGAAAAGAAAAUAAUAAUAUAUGAAGCAUACUAACUCCAAAAUCAUUUAAGGAUGAGUAGAGUGAAAAUACUACUUCCAGACAUCAAUAAUGCAAAAAUCCCUCCCCCACACCAAGAACUUACAUUGUCCCCAAUUUAAGAUAAUCAAAGCUCACAUAAAAAUUAAAACGUAAGGAUAAAAGUUUAAGGGCAAAAAGAAACUUCCCUGAAUUGUGAGCUUUGAUCCACAUAACGUUUAUGGGCUUGGCGGAAAUGGUGGGGUAAAUCCCACACUCUUAAAGUAUGCGGCCAAAUUCUGCUCCAUCUUGUUCAGCUUGUGCUCCAUUUUCUCUAACUGAAUGCUCAAAGUGAAAUAUAAGUGUGCAACCCAAGAGGGGGGGUGAAUUGGAAAUUUAAAAAUUAACCUAGCAAAUCCACACAACAAGCAAUCUAAUGCCUUAAUAAAAAUUGAAAGCAAUAAGUUUAAUAAAGGCACAAUAAUUAAAGAGUAAGGAAGAAGAGAAAUAAACACACGAAUUUUUACGUGGUUCGGCAAUCCCCGCCUACGUCCACGCCUCCAAGCGAUCCAAGCUUGAGGAUUCCACUAUCCAAGCCUUUCCAAGGCUUCAACGAUUACAAUUGACUUCGAGGUGUCAAUAAACCUUUACAACAAAGAGAUUAUCUCCCAAUCUCUUCACUCAAGUGUCUCACACACUCAAACUCUUACAAUUGAGAUGAAUAAAUGAAGGUUACAAUGAAACUCACUCAAUGAGUAGAUAUUCAAAAAUGAAGAACAAUUAAAGACUCAAUGUUUGUAUUUCACAAGUUUGAAGGCUCAAGAUAUCACGUGUGCUUUUUGUUCUUGCUUGUUGGAGAGCUUGAAAAUGAGUUGGAUUUGAGUUUUUAUAGUUUGAGCUCGAAAACUAGCCGUUACUCACAUUUUGGUCGUAACCGGAUUACCGGUUAUGGACAUCCGAAAUUCCGCUUAAUGUUACCGUUACAGCCACAAAUUUGAAUUUCUGAACAUCCGGAUUUCCGCUUUGUCACAUCCGGAUUUCCGCUUACGCUCAGUAGUUUACUGCCCAAUAACCGGAUUUCCGUUUGUCAGGAUCCGGAAUUCCGCUUUUAAUUCGGAUAGAUUUUGCCUCGAAUCCGGACUUCCGUUUAUCAGAAUUCGGAUUUUCGCUUGCUACAGUAACUGCUACAGUGAAUAUUUUUCCAAAUUUACAGUUUGACCCCAAAACUUUAUAAAACUAUAAUGUGGCCUAAAACGUUAUGAAAGUUUGCAAAAAGGUCCAAUUUCAGAACUUUAGAAUAAUGCUUUGUCAAUCCCACAACUUUCUGAAAUUAUGACUUUGCCCAAACUUUGUGAAAUUAUAGAAUGGCCCAAAAACAUUUAAAUAGUUUCAAAUAGGUCCAAAUCCGAAAUUUAAAAUACUAUCAAAGAUUUUAAAAAUACUUUCAUUUUAGUCCAAAAUGCUUUAAUUCCAUAACAUCGUUUUCUUAUUAUAAAAGCACAAUUCAUAAAUCUUUGCUUAAUAAAUACAUGUGGUUUGUUAUCAUCAAAAUCAAUAUUUAGCCAUAUAGGCUAACACAAAGGUGGUGCGGAUGUAGAAGGAAUAGUUGGCGGGGCAGCAGUGUCGUCGUCAAACUCAUCAUCAGAGGUAGCACCACUCCUAGCAUAAAGCUUCUUCGGAAGUUGAGUGGGUCCUGGUUCCGUAAAUUGAAAUCUCCCCUCCUUGAAUUCGACCACACCUGUUCUUUCAAACACAGACAUAUCCAAAAAUUCCUUUUUGCAAGCAGGAUGCAAAUCAUUAUUGUCAGGAUCAAGCACACAUAGGUUUAUAGCUAACAUAGUAAUGUAUGGACCAAGAAAUAAAGUCCUAUACCGUUUAAGCACACUUUGAAAUUGAUCCGCUAACCAAAAACCUAAAUUAGGCCUCACAUCAUGUAACAUGCACCAGAUAAAAUAAAAUUCAGUUUUAGAGAAAAUUCAUGAGUGAUCUUUCUUGCCUAAAAAAUUAUAUGCUAAGAAUCGAUGCACGCAUUUCAAAACAGGAUCACGUAAGAAAGAACUCUUUGAUUUACUCGGGUCAUAGGCAUUGUGAUCAACAGAUAAAUUACGCCAAAGACCAUAAGGCUCAAAAUUUUCGCUAAAGUCACAAGUUGUUCCUAAAUAUUCAUCACUAGUAGAAUAAUCAUCAUCAAUGAAUCCUAAAGCUAGGUUAAAAUCCGUGAUAGAGUGUGAAAAAUUUCGUCCCAUUAACCUAAACUUAAUGACAUCUGGAGUAUGCAAAGUAAAAUUAUUCGGCAUAGUAAAUUAAAAAGUAGCAUAAAACUCCCUAAUCAACUCAACAUAACCCAAACAAUCAACAUCAACAAACUUACGCAACCCAAUCUUAUCUAUCAAAGAAUCAAAAUUAUCUUUAACAUUCAAUUUUUCAAGAGUAGGGUAAUGAAUAUACUUAGCUGGAAGUAUUUUGCGCGUGGAAAUAUCUUUGUACCUCUCUUUCUCUUGUUGAGUCGCGAAUGCGAGGCACCCUCCGAGAUUGGAUUCCGCAAGUGGCAAAACACUCAUGCCUUUUCCGUGCUUUGAUCUUUGUCUCACGGCUUGGCGUGAAUUUGAAAUUGUGUUCCAUGGAACCGUAGUGGGAGCGGCAAUCUUAUAUUUCUUUGCGAAAGGAAGAAAAUAAAUUAUUUAUAACCUCGGAAUCAUGUGCGUCAUCAGAGUUGUCUGUCUGCUCCUGGUGGUCAUCAACAGCCACCUCAUCCUCAGAAGUGUCAUGACGCUGCUCUGGUGUUGGGUUUGGUAUGUCGUCAUGCUCGUUUGAUUGCCUUGUAAUGGACGGCAUCGCGUUAAUUGAUGGUUGGUGCUGUAUAAAGUAGCAUUUAAAAUUAGUAAAUGAAAAAUAAAAAAUUUCGAUUAAAUAAAUAAUAGUACUUAUAGGAUACCGACCUUAUGAACCCAGUCUGGAAUGUGUGGCAUGUAAUCCUUUACAGUGAGCCAAUAUUUUAUGCUACUCUCCUUUGUAUUCGGCUCAAGGGUUUGUAAAACGUCCCCCUAUCAUAAAUUCAAUCCAAAAUUUUAAGUAAGUAUAUAUAACUUAAAUUUAGUAACGUUAAAAAAAUAACUAAUACAUAUUACUUACAAGACGAGAUUCGUCGUUGAAGAACGAAUAAACCUCAGCAAAGUUGAUUCUCGAAGACCCCAUGGGCUUCCAUUGCACGAUGCGGGGAAUCUUCUUCUUCGUUUUCACGACCCAUGCUGACGGCAAACCUCCGAUCGCUUUGUAAAUCCAAGCCUGCAACAACCAAAGUGAAAAACCUAUUAAAACAACUAUCAAAUAUUUAAUACUAUAAAACUUAUUAAUAAACAAAAAAACAACGCACCUGAACCCCGGACAUAUAGCCGUAAAGAUUGUACUUUUCAAUGUUAUGAUCUAGGUUUUUCAACCGAGUCGUCUUAAAUUUCUCGUCUUUCUCGAACAGUGCAUUGUCAAGACUCUCGUAUAUCAUUUCCCACGACAAAAGACCCCAUGGAUGCUUUCGGAAGUACUCUAUAUCAUCUACUUCGUUAAGCGAUGAGAAAUUGAUUUGACAGUAAUUUUUUCUUGCAUUUAGAACUAUGUCCGCAAAAUAAAAUAGUGCAAUCUUUAAUGCGUCAAUAUCGUCCAUUUCCUCGAAUUUCAACUUCUUAAAUAAUGCAUCGAAUUCCUUAAGAUUGAUCUUGCGAUGCACACCACCAAAAUACGUAUUCCGUAGCCUAUGCACCGUUUUGUUAUUUCUUAGUUCGGUAUCUACACCAUAUGAAAGUCCAAUAACCAGGCACCAUUCUACAAUUGACAAGCGAAUCAAAUGCUCACCAAUUUGAAACCAUAACUGAUCCUCACGGCUAUCUUCUUCAUGGGCCACUUGCCUCAGUAAAAAAUUGUGCAAAAUUACCCCACUAAAUGAAAAGUUUCGACACUCCAAGAAAUGCCUAAAUAUGUCCUUCUUGAACAGAUUCAAUUGCCGCUUUGUUAAUUUUUUUUCGGUGGCUUUUACGACCGAAGAUAAAUUACACAUGCUCGAAAUUCGACCCGGAAAGUGAUCGGCGUAACGAAAAUACAUCCUGCCUACUUCGAUUUCUGAUGAUUCUGAUUUUUCCAUGUAUCGGUAAUAUUUAUAACAUUAUUACAUUGCAUUUACAACAAAAAUAAAAUAAAUUGACUUGAUGGAAAAAAAAAUUAAACCCACUAUAAUUUGGUGCGACAGCACAGCAAGCGCGUGCGCGCUGUUGCCCAGCGACGGUUCUACACCAUAUGUGCAGCACCAUUCAACCCAAAACAAGUGAAAGAACAAAUCACUCCCAAAACAACAACAACCACCACAAACACCACCACCACCACCACCAUUAUUCUCAAACUACAACCACUAUUAUUCUAAAAUUUCAUUUUAAAUUAAUGAAAUAUAAAUAAAAUGGCUAACUUAGGUUUUGUUGAAGGCUGUAGAUGGUAAAUUGGACGCCGAUAAUAGAUGGAGCAGCCGCCGACGAGGGCUGAUGUUGCCGCCGACUAUAGGUGUUUCUUCGGUUUGGGAGAGAUGAGUGAAAGAGAGAUUAUUGGGGGAGAGAUGUGAGAGGGGUAUUUUGGUCUCAAAGGUUUUUUUGUGGGUAAUGUUGAUAGAAAUUAGUUUGGGGGGUUAAGAUGGAAAAACAAAAACUUUUAUAGUUAUUGGUGUAAAUUUCCCAUUGUAUGUAAUACUUUAGAUUCAGGUAAUGUAGAUUGUGUAUACAACUUUCUAAUAUUCUGUAGAUCUCAAUAUAAAUACUUGUAAUCAACAAAUACAAUAAUAAGAGUCAUCAUUCUUCAUUUUCUCUUUGUUUCUCUCAUAUUUUCUCUUCAUCCAAACACAAUAUUCUCAGUUCUUGACUUGGUAUCAGAGUUGCAGUUUAAUUGUCAUGGCUUCCUUCCUUAAGCACAAAUUAAAAAAAAAUCAGUCUCCUUCAUUCUUUACCCUCACAAAUGCGAUCAAACUGGACAGAUCUAACUAUACGAUCUGGAAAUCUUAGAUCCUCUCUUCAGUGCGUGCCAAUGGACUUGAAGGCUUUCUUAAUGGAACUAAAAUUUGUCCAGAUCAGUUACUUACUCAAGAGAUUGAAAGUUAUGGUGUGUUGAAAUUGCAGUUGGUGAAAGCUCAGCUGAUAGAUCUUAGGAGAAUCCAGCCUUUGUUGCUUGGAAAAGGUAGGAUCAAUUGUUAUUAAGUUGGCUCAUGUCCUCCAUCAGUGUUGAGAUACUUAGUCUAGUGGUAAAUUCUGAUUCUUCUCAUAAACUUUGGACUAAUCUUGAAGAAAAAAUUGGAUUAGAAACUAUGGCUAAGAAAGCACACUUAAAAAUGAUGUUAAGCAAUCUCAGAAAGGGAUCAAUGACAAUAACUGAGUAUUUUGCCAAACUUAGAGCUGUAACUAAUAAACUUGCUCUAACUGGUAGCCCUGUUUCUACUCUUGACUUUAUUAUUCAUCUAAUCUCUAGAUUAGGCCAGCCAUACUACCCUGUUGUUUUGUAUAUUGAAGCUAUUGUUUUGUAUAUUGAAGCUAAUAUGAUGAAAAUAUUCGUCAAUGAAGCAUAUUCUAUGCUUUUAACUCAUGAAGCAAGAAUUAAAGCUAAUCAUCCAAGUGCAAAUAAAGAAGCAAAGUUGAAUUAUGCUGUUAACAUAGCUGAGGCUGGACCGAGUACUAAAUAACAAUAAGAAGUCUAGUAAUCAAGCUAAUUACUAUCAGGGCAACCAAGGUAACUGGAAUAGAAAUGCUCAUUGGUGUGGUAACAAUGGAGGAAGAGGUGGCUUUGGCAGAGGUUUUUCAGGGCAAGGAAGGGGUAAUUAGAAUAAUGGUGGUCAUUGGAACAAUGGACCUUGGAGUAGUAGUCGAGGAGGCUAUAAUGGUUCUAAUAUAAACAAUAUGACAUGGUUGCUGGUGAACCUGCAAACAUAACCACAAAAGUAAGAAGGCAUAAUCUUUUUAUAAGAAACUCAAAAAUGUAUUAAUGAUGAAAAUUUUAAAACAGAUAGUGGACCAGCUGUUCACUAAGAAAACAAAAAACUGAAUAUUUGUGCUAUAAAAAGGCACACCCAAUCUCACCCCUAUAAAAGGCUAGAAUCAACUACAAAUUCCUAUCUCAAAACCCCAUCCCAGUUUAGAUGAAUGAAGAAAAAAGAUGAAUCUUGAAACUCCUUAGAAACUGAAGCCCAAAGUGAAGCAAGAAGAUGAACUCUAUCCCAAGCAAGCAAUAUGGCAUAUUUCUCCAUUAAUGGUUCAAAUAAAGUGAAUGGCUUUCUCUGAUGAAUGGGAAAUUGUCAAGAUCAAUAGUCAAACUCACGCAAAGUAAACGGACUUAAUUCUCAGAGGCUACUCAUUCUAAGUCUUAAAGAAAAAUUUUCUAAUUUCUAAAGAUUAUAUGGGGAAAAAUCAUUAUUUUUUAACAUGGAAAAUUUGAUACGGUGUUUAAUGUCUGAUCAAAAUCAUAAUAUGAGUACUAACAAAAACAUCUUUAAUCGGCAUGGUGCGAGUAAAACACCAUCACUUCAUCUUUGAUGGAAAGAUGAUAAUAUAAGGAGAUGGUGAAAUGGUUUUGGUCCAUGGCAGCUUGUAAUCAAAAGAAAACAAAAAACUACACUAUCAUUAAUGAUUACCGAAGGUACAGAAGUAUCAAAAUCGGAAAGCAAACAAUUGCAAAACACAUCAAUGACUGAAGGUUAGGUUCUAAAACUUCCGUAUUUAAUUUUCAGAGCAUGUUAUGUAUUAUUCAGAAAUAUGCUUUCACUUCAGGCACUUGACCAAGACGCAUUAAACAUAAAACGCGGCGUUUUCAUGGACUAGUACAUUCCAUGCUUCGAAAGUUUAUGUUUUAGACUGAUUGGUUUGAUACAUUAUUUGUUUAUUGCGUUUUUCUUGCUUUAAAUAUUAUGUUGGAUUGAUAAGUUUUGUACACAUUUAUAUUGCUCGCAGUAAAUAAUUUAUGACAUUUAAAAAACUAUCAACCGUCUAUCAAAAGAUUUCUACUAUAAAUAUAUAUACACAAAAAACUUUUAAUUUGGUCAAUUUGUUCUCUUAUUUAUUUUUAUUCUAUUUCUCUUUUCCUUCCCUUUCAUUUUAUUAUUUUAUGGUACAAAAUAAAAAAAUAACCUUAAAAUUUAAGGGUAAAAUACUCAUUUUACUAAAAUUCCGUUUAAUAUUAUAAAGCUGUCAAAUGUCAAUGGCAUAGUACACGAGUGAUACAAAUUAAAAACAAUAAAUUGAAAGUUUUUAUGCAUUUUCCUUUUAUUUUUUUUAUAGCCGAUUGAGAUUCCCCUUCAUUUUUUUAAAUUCAAUAGGUUUAGACCGUUUAACAAAUCUUAAAUUAAAAAAACCCGUGGUGUAAUAACAAACUCACAUCAAACCCUGUCCACUGUCAUCCCUAAUUAUAUUUACCACUUCAUACUCACAGUGAUAAUAACUGUGUAUCACAAUUGAUUUUGCAUACGGGUAAAAGUUCCAAGUCCGGAUAUUUAGUUAAUGAAAUUUUAUGAAAAGGGCAUGAAAGAAAAUAAGAAAUUAAAUAAUACAGGAGGUAUUAAUCAUUACAUCUUUAGUUAAUGAAAAUUGAUGAAAAUAUUUCUGCAGACGUGAGCCGUAAUUAUAUUACCGUUAAGAAUGAAGCAGAAGAGUUUCCCCAAACAAGCUAAAACACAGCACUUCAAUUUAAAGAAUUUUUAUAUCACAGUACCAGGGCAAAAAGUUUAAUGCAACAACAUACAUUAAGUUAAUUCCAUAAUCUAUCCCCAAAGAAAGACAAACACAAGCUUAUAAGAUUAAAACUUUGGAAAACAUUAAAGAGUCAGACAAAAUUGUGUAAUCUUCAGAGUUUGGAGCCUAGUUCAUCCAGGAAAGCAAAAGAAAUAAUAAUAAUAAUAAUAAUAAUAAUAGUAGUAGUGGUUUGAUCUCAAAAGGUGGCAUCAAAGUGGUCACUUUGAGGUAUUGGAAGCAAUUACGUCUUCAACUUUGUCCUGAUUUCGAAGUCCCUUAACCCAUCCGCCAUCAAUGGAUUGAAUGCUUCCAUUCAACCCAUCAUCAACAAAAUCACCAACCCGUUUCACCUUCAUCUCCUUGGGCUUAACAGGGUACUUUCCACAGAAGCAAGGAAAACAAAAAUUCUGAGAAUCAUCGCCUAACAACUAGUUCAAGCUGUAAAUCGGCAGAAAAGCAAGCGAAUCACACCCAAUAAACUCGCUGAUUUCCUCAACGCUCAUCCUGUUGGAAAUCAACUCCUAAGUACUUGUCUGCUCUGUAGUAACAAGAAGCUAUGAUUGGUGGGCUUGCAAUUCUCAUGUGAACCUCUUUAGCUCCAGCCUCCUUAAGCAACCUAACAAUUUUUGAUGAAGUUGUUUCUCACACUAUCGAAUCAUCCACAACCACAACUCUCUUUCCCUCCAACCACAACCUUACAGGAGAGAGCUUAAGCUUGACACCAAAGUCCCUAAUUUUCUGGGAAGGCUCAAUGAAAGUUCUCCCAACAUCAUGUGACCUUAUCAACCCUUGUUGAAAUGGCACCCCGGCUUUCGCAGCGUACUCAAGUGCAGCCACCACUCCAGAAUCUGGUACUGCAAUCACGACAUCACACUCAACUGGAGCCUCGGUAGCAACUACUUCCCCAAAAUGAUACCUCGACUCAUAAACAGACCUUCCAAAAACAACAGAAUUAGGCAAAGCAAAAUAAAUAUGCUCAAAGAUGCACUGCUUAGGUUCAGGGUGAGGCAUCAAACAAGGUGAUUGAACCCCAUCUUCAUCCACCAUCAAAACUUCACCGGGAUAUACCUCUCUCUCUCUCUCUCUCUCUCUCUCGUAUGUGGCCUCAAUCAAAUAGUGCACAAGUCUCUGAUGCAAAACCAGAGCACCAUUACUCCUCCCACCCAUCACCAAUGGCAUAAACCCAUACGGGUCACGAACCGCAACAAGCUUAUCCUCAGUAACUUAUCUCAUUUAUGACUUAUUGUUGCAUUUAAGUGAUUUUGCAAAAAUUAUUUUGCAAUAAUAUUAUUUUUUUGACGAGUAAGUUUGAAGUAAAUAAUACAUAUGGCAAGUGUGAGGUUUGUUAUUGCAUAUAUUUUGUGGAUCCAUUUUAAAGCCAAAAAAAAGGCAUUUUGAUUCAUUCUGAUUCCAGAUAAUUUCAAGCCAUAUGUCAUUAUUGGGAUAAAAAUAAAGUAAAAUGGUUAAAACUAUUUUUAUGUAAUUUAUAAAAAUUAAUGAAGCAGCUACAAAAUUUUUUAAACGAAAAACAAUUGAAAUGUGUGUGGAAAAAGAAGAAAAAAAAUAAGGCAUUUAAAUAUCUUCUUAAAAAAUACGAUUGAGUAAAAUCAUUUUAACAGAAUGCUCUUCCAAAUGCAAUUCCACAUUAUUUUUAUUACAUUGGGAUAUUCCAAAAUUGGCACAACUCAUUAAGAAUUCGGCAACUCAAAUUUUAUUUAUCUCUCUUUGCAUUUGACAAAUUAAAAAGAAAAAAAAAUUCAUAUGUCUUCUGUUCAAAAGAAACCUUGGUAAAUAUUGUAAAACAAAUUACCAAUUUUUUUAAAUUUAUGCCAUUAUAUCGUCGCUAUUUUCUCGCCCACUUUCUUAAAAUACAAUCAAUAUUUAUUGAUGGGUUGCGUUCCAGAGUAAGCACCAAUUCAGCAAAAUGGUUUUAUAGCAGAAAAAGCACUUGUAAGACAUUCAGAACACAUUUUUCAAUUUUGUCUUUUGAAAAUGAGUCUUGAGUUUCCGCAAGCCAAGUAGAAUGGCUAAAAAAUGUAUGGUAUCAAAGAAAGAGAAACACACACACACACACAGAGAUUAGUGGGGAGAUAUAUAUAUGUGUGUAAUUUGUAUAUAUAUCCCCAUUAAUUGUUGAUAGUCCAACGGGUGAGUAUAUGCAAAAGUAAAAAAUUGGCUGUCCUUUAAGACAAGAUUGACUGUCACAUGAAAAUGUUAGCAAACUUGCCACACAACAAAAAUAAAGAUUCAAAGAACAACUUUAUGGUCCCCUUUCUGUCCAAACGUAUGUGAUCGAAAUUAGUGUAAACGACACUUGAAAUAUAUAUGUAGAUCCUCACACAAUUGAUUAAAUAUUUAUAGUAGGAUGAAGUGAUAAAUAGUUUCACAAAAUUAUUGGAAUUAAUUAUUUAAUACAUGAGAUCUAUCUCAUUAAGUAUAAAAGAUUGAGUGCUGCUUCAAAAGCAUGACGUUGCUGGCAACAAAUUUAACACAAAAAUUUAAUUAAUUAUCCUAGUUGAGAUAAUAAAAUCUCGUGUUGAAAACAAAAGGUUUGAGGUUCAAACCUUCUCAUUCAAAAAAAUCAAGUCAAAAUAUUACAUCUUCCAGCACAUAUCAAAGAUUUUUUCAAAGGCAGACUGAUAAUUCAGGGUAAAAAAAAACAAAAAAACAAAAGGAAUAUAUGCUAUUCAAGACAGGUAUACCUUGGACAUGAAGUCUGAAUCCAAAACAUGAAGCACCUAGCUGAUCUUUCACUUUCCAAAACCCAACAAAAUCUUUGUCAAAAUAUAUGAUCUAGUCCCAUAUUAAGCACAUUCAUAGCCAUAUCACCAGGUUCAAAAUAUUUUCCCCAAAAAGAGAUAGAGAUUCCAUUGAAGUUGAGUUGUGACUGUCCCAACGUUUUGUAAUUAUAUGGUUCAGGAUACCAUGCCUAUGACUCUUUUUUUUUUUUUUUUUCUGUUUCCAUGUUUCGAAGUCUAUCAAAUGAAAAUGUAAUUAUAUGGUUCAGGAUACCAAUAUGCCGGAGCUGCAAAGGUUGACUUCCACUAUGCUAUCAAUGUCUAUACUUUCUAUUGAAUUUCCUUGUUUUUUUUUUAAAUUGCAAGAUUUCUUUUUGGAAAUCUUUGACACAUUUUAUGUAAGAUACCAUAAAGCCAAAUACAACCUUUUUUAUUCUCAGCAGCAAUUUUUUUUUUCCUUUUAAAAAAAGGAAGCCAUAUAAAUAAUGCUUAAAACAUUAUUUGCAACAAGGAACAAUUAUUUCAUGCUUUCAUGUAUUAGAAACUUUCCAAAAAAGCUAGCAAGAAAAUGAAAUGGAACUUUACCUAGUCACAGAAUAUUGCUGUUAGCCCAAUUAUUGCUGUUAGCCCAAUUGUUAUGAAGUGGCUUCUGCAUCAGAAGAUUCCAGCUCCCACCAAGCAUUGUUAUCUCUCUUCUGAAUACAAUCUGCAUCGCUGGGCAUGAGUUAUAUCAUUAAUGUCUGCAUCCUCACUUACAUCAUCCCAAUCAAGUGCUUUUUCUCCACAUUUGGAUUAUAAGUCCAAUCUCUUCAAAACAUCCUAGUCCUUCCAUCACAACUGAUACGACUUCCUUCCUAAUUACUUUCCCAUUAAUAAAUCGCUCCAAGAAAAAAAAGCAUUAGCAAUUCUCUUCAACGCCCCAUCACUCAUAUCCCCCACAACAACCAUCUUCAGCCACCUCAACGUUGCCUCUUGAAAGAUCUCCACAAAAUCCGAAUCAUCCGACACAACCACCAAACACCCAAACCUUCUUUUGUCCACCAUAGCCACCAUAUAAUUUCUCAACAAAAUAUCGGCAUCUUGUGGCUUAACUAACACCAUCCUGACCCAAAACCAUGCUCUUUUUAACUCAUCUGCAAAACCAUAACCCACUUUUGGAGUCAAAAUUGCGCUUGCAGCCGUUUUAUUUUUUUCCAUCUUUAUUGAAUAGUUGCCAACCAAAAGCACUCUCACCUGCCCUCUAGCUGAUUCUAUUUGAUUCGACCUUUUCUUUUGUUCACCCUCAUGAAUUUGCCUAAAAUGAUUAACAAGUUUGUCAUUAUUAUAAAAUCUCCUUCCACAAUCACCAAUACAUACGGCUUAGCAUGCCUAAUUACACCCCUGAUUUCUAAUUGGUUAAACAAUUCUCUUUCUUUCUUUGCUCUCUUACAACUUGAGGCACAUAACUAAACGCGUGGCUAUUAGCAUUUGCCACCAUGCAUUUAACAACCCCAAAUGAAGAUAUUAAUUUUUUUAGUUUAAUUGCUGCUUCAAAAUGGGAUACUGAAUUUGGAUUUUGUUAUCCAAAUACCAAAAAUUUCCCAUAUUGUGCUGGACAGUUUUUGGUUCUAAAGUUGAUGACUGGUUUUGCGAAUCAGGCUUUAAAUGAGAACUUCUAAACAAUAAGACAAAUGAGUUUUGAGUUUCUAAUCUUGUAAACUUUGUUCUAUUGUAUAAGUUAUGAAAUCGCUGAAACAUCACUACAGCUACAGGUCUUUAUGUGUCAAUGAACUGCAGAAGCUGAUGAUCUACCUGUAGCAUACUUUUAUUGCCCCUGCCGUUCUAGGAAGACAAACAAGUUCAAGAACUACUUCUGGACCAAACUCAUAAUAUUGCCAUUGCUUUGUGCCAAUCUGAGAGGGAAAGCAUAUUGAAGUUCCUAAAUAAGGCAAAUCAUGAUUUGACAGAAGUACCACUAUGAGGAACAAUUGAUUUCAGGAAAGCACUAAAAUAUGACAUAAUCUCCCCCUGAUGGUCUAAAGUAGUCAAGAAAUGAUAUCAACCAAGUAAAAACACAUAAACUAGUUGAGAUACAAAGUUAUUGUAAAAGUCAAUUUUGAUCACAAAUCCAUUAAAAUUAAAAGACAUCAGAAACAUAGAGAACAUUAUAAUUUAGGACUCAGCUAAGUCGCAGAUUCUGUAACUAACAGCUAAGUCCACAUUGGCCUUGCAUCAACUGAGUUUGGGUUGCUUUUCAUCUCUCCUUCAACGCGUGGAAGCGCCCCAUUUGCUGUGUUAUACAGAGUCGGUACCGUAGCGAGCUCCUAUAAUUUAAGUUUGAUCACUGUAGACAAUAGUCUGCCUCUGCUCAAAAGCUAUGCUGCAAGAUAUAACGUCUUUACAAUGUUAUACUUUCUAAAAGUAAUAAGAAAUGAAACCAAGGGGUAAACCGAACACCAAAAGAAAUUUAGUCGGCCAACUACAUUAUGUUCCCACACAGUCCACUAAUUAAGUUAAUAAUUAAAGGGAAUCAAAAUCUAAUAAAUCUCAUCUUCAAGCAGAAUACAAACACACCGAGAUUAAAAAUCACAAAAUCAUAAAAAGAAGCUGACUUUAAAAGCUCAAAUAUACGUUCAUCAGCCUCUCAACUUAUAUCUAAGAACAAAUGCCUGCAGCUUGUGAAGACAUAGAUAAUUGAAGCUGAUGAGGCAUAUUUAACAGAUGAUAAUCAAAACUCGUGUGAUUAAAAUUAUAAUUCAAUAAUCGAGCACAUAAAACAAGAAGUAACUAGUUGUAUACAUACCAAACAACAUUCUGAAGUUAAGGCGUAAAACCACUAGUGUAAACAAGCGCUAGUGUCAAGAACUAUUGUUAAUAACUCAAAAACCACUAGUGUCAAGAACUAGACUAAUAAGUGAAACCCAUAAUCAAACACAACUACAUCAAAAUCUCUGAAAAUUGAGGUCUAAACAUUGAAAACAAUUAGACAUAUAUAACAGUCAAUCGAAACAAAGCCUCAAAAUAAUAAUGAACUACAAUAAGACAGAACCUAAAUUGUAAACAAGCGCAUACCCAGUAACAAUAAUCAAGUAACAAGUCAAAACCAGAAUCAAACGUAGAAUUUUGAAAUCCAUACGAACUCUAACGUAUUAGAAUGAAAGAAUAAUGACGAUCGAUAAACUAGACUCAAACAAAAACAUGCCCAGUUAAAAAACGAAGGUAAAUAAAUAAAAAUGGUAUAAAAUUGCGAAAAAAAUUAAUGAAAUGAAGAGAAAAUCACAGGAAUCCUAUGAAGAGGAAGGUAAACAAAACCUUCGGGAGCCGAGAAGAUGCCUUUUUUUGUUCACUUUUGUGCCUAUACAUACAUUUUUUUUUUUGUAAUUUUGAAGAAAGUAUUGGUUAAAUAUUGUCAGAACGAAAUAUUAAUAGAUGCUGGCAAUUUCAACAAGGACAAUCUUCGAUUCAAAUGUACCCUUAUGAUAAAGAAAAAGCCAGCUUGUCUAAAUUUUGAGCAUCACAUUACAAGAUUUAGGUGUAUGUUUAACUAUGCAAAAUGAAACAUCUAUUAAUUGUAAGACCAUUGACCUCUGGAACCAGACAACCAGACUCUUUCCUACUAGACAACCUUCCAUUGAUCAGACUAAUAAUAUUUACUAAAUCAAGUUCUACAGUUAAUGAAGUUGGACCAAAGGCAAUUGUUAGCUUAAUGUCAUAGGCCACUCAAAUUUCUCGUAAUUGGAGGAUAAUUUUGUGCACAUGAGUUCGCUUAGCAAAAGUCCGCCUAGGCGUGGAGUGCGCUUAAAGGCGGGAUGCACUUAGAAGUGGGAUGCACUUAGCAAAUCAUUCAAGCCCAACCCAAGAUCUAAAACUCUAUGCAAAUUAUAAAUAAGCUAAAAGUUUCUAUGUUUCUCCACAUAGUUCCCUAGGAUAUUUAUGAAAGUUGCUAGGAAGUUUCCUCCCCUAGAACUCUAAUACCUAUAAAUAGGGGUGGGCCCCCUCAUUUGCCCACCAACCAUACCACACACACAAACACUCCAGCACACACACAAACACUCCAGCACACACACAAGCUCUCUAACUUUUGUAAAAAGCUCUCUUGUAUAUUCUCUCUUUGAGAGUAAUGAAAUCAUAUUCAGCCAUAUUGCUCUACUUCUCUCUACCAUUUUCCGCAAGUGUUCUUGCUUUGCUAGUUUGAGGAGUGUUCUAGGCUUGCUUAGCAACUUGUUUGCUACAAGGACAUCUUGGUCACAAAACAUGGACAUGCAAGGAAAAAAAAAAGAUAUUGAUAUGUUCUAAAAAUAAAACGCAUUCUUCUACAGUGAACCAAAAAAUUUAGGCUAAUGGUAGCAAGUGAAGGAAUUGUGAUUUCACGUGCAUUUUGUUGACAUGAAGGUAAAGAGCUUUUUUAUAGUUUAUAUUGUUUAAUAUAACAUUUGAAUUGCAAAAUAGGGGUACAAAAUGGAUACACGAAGUGAUAAAACUAAGUUGAUUAUGAUAAAUAUUGAAUUAUAAGAUUUAGGUUUAAUCAUAAAGACAUAAGUGGCGCACAAAGUCACGAAUUAUCAUCCAUGAUGUAAGUUCAAACAACUGCAUAAUAAGUUGCCCCAAGCUAAACUAUUAAUCUAGUAACUAUUCUAGUCGAUGUGGGAUAAUUUUCAUAUCACCUCUAUCACGUGCAAGCCGAAUUUGUUGCUUGGUCCUUACAUGUGGUAAGGUAAUAUGAAUCCACUUGUGCAUAAAUUUGGCUCCGAUAUUAUAUAGAAGCCUAUGACCCAAAAUUAUACUUAAAGGUUAUUUCAAGAUUUGAGGGUUGCCUCAAGCUAAUAUUAUUAUUAGCCUGGUAACCCUUUUUUUUGUUGAUAUGUGAUAUUUUCCCUAUAACUUUUAUUAAUCUUUAUGCUUAUGUUUUGUCAUUUAUCCCAAAAUAUAACAUUAACAAAAGUUCCAAAAUUUCCUUCAAGAGAUAUAUUUGAGAAAAGUAAUUUGUGCAAUAACUUUGUGAAUUGAUGAGCAAAUUCAGAGAAAAGAAUAUAUGUGCCAAACGUAACGUUUAUUAUUGUGUUUAUUUGUAGAGCUAUUUAAAGCCCAAAAAAAAAAGCACGGGUCCACUAUUAUUUCAAAUAAGUUCAAGCCCUAUGUCAUUAUUGGUACAAAAAUGUAUCAGAAAGGUUAAAAAAAAUUUUUAUUUAACUUAUAAACUUAGGAAAUUAUCAACUGUCUGCCCUUAAAUUGCACUAUUAUAAAAAAUAUUACAAUAUUUUCAGGUUGUAUCUACCAUAAAUUUACAAUUGCAUCAUUUAUCCACCAAAUCAUUAACUUCGUUAAAAAGUGAUAGACGUCACAAGGGUAGUUCAGACAUUUAACACACAAAAAUAAAAGAGAAAUUAUCUAAGCUUACCAUGUUAUCAAAAUUGCUACAAAAUUUUAAAUUUGUUCAAUUUUUCAAUCUAAGUUUAUGACCUCCAAGAUAUUAAUUGCAGUUUGUAAUUAAUGAGUUCAUAAGGAUAAUUUAGACACUCAAUAUGCAAAAUAAAAAAGGAAAAUUAUCAUUUGUAUACCUUAAAGUUGCGCUUUUAUAAAAAAUAUUACAGCACUUUAAUGGUGUAUCAAUCGUCCACCUUAAAUUGGCAAAACUUAUCUACCGACCACUAAACCAUUAGCUGCCGUUUGAAAGUUAACGGAACUGAAGCGAAUUGACGAUUUUACCCUUGAAAAUUAUCACUUGUAUACCCUUAAAAUCUCUUAUUAUCAAUUAUAUACUCUUAAAUUAUCACUUGUAUCUAUGAAAAGACUAGAUUAACCCUUUGACGUCAUCAUGUUUAAACGGCAACUAAUGGUUUGCUGAACGACAAAUACAUUUUGUCAAUUUAGGGUGGACGACUGAUAUACCCUGAAAGUAUUGUAGUAAAUUUGAUAACGGAGUAAACUAAGGGUAUACAAUUGAUAAUUUCACAAUAAAAAAUAAAAUAAUGGCUUAAAUUAAAACAAAAAACUUGAUAUUCAAUUAAAUACACAUAAACUCUAUUUUUUUCUUAAUUAAAAAUAUUCUAAUUUAGUUUCUCAAUUUAUCAUCAUAAAUUUACAUUAAUAAACUAAAUCCACAAAUUACCCUAAACCCUAAUUCAUAAAUGCCCAAUCAAUCUAAUACUUUAAUUCGAUUUCAUAAUUAAAAAAGCUAAAUUUAUUAUAUUAGUUAUGGUGCAAAGUAAAAAAUGCCCUUAAAUUCAAGGGUAAAAUAACAUUUUAUUUAAAUUCUAUAAAUUAUUCUAACAAUGUUAACAUUUUGGUGGACGGUUAAUAUAAGUUACAAACUUAAAAUAGAAAAUCAAAUAAAUUCAAAAUUUCAAACUAUUUAGAGGAAAUUUAGGAUAUAUGGUUAAUAAUUUUCCCAUGUCUUUUUACAUUGGUUGAUAUAAGCUACAAACUUAAAAUAGAAAAUCAAAUAAAUUUAUAUUUUCAAACUAUUUAGGGCAAACUUAGGGUAUAUGGUUAAUAAUUUUCAUUUGUCUUUUUAUGUUAAAUUGAAUUUCAAAGGUAAAAUGAUCAAUUUAUUAUAAUUCUGUUAAUUGUUUAGUGGAAGCAAACGAUAUAAUGGACGAAUGAUAUAAAUUGUAAAAUUAAGGUGCAUGAAUGAUACAACUUUAAAAUAUUGUAGUAAUUUUAAUAAUAAAACAAUUUAAGGGUAAUGAUACAACUUUAAAAUAUUGUAGUAAUUUUAAUAAUAAAACAAUUUAAGGGUCGAUUGGCAAUAAUUUAAACUUUAAUGAAGCAACUAAAAAAUUUUUUAACAAAAGAAAAAUAAUUGAAAUGCUUUAAGAAAAAUAAAGGAAAUUAAAUAUCUUUAUAAAAAGGCCAUCAAUUUAGCCAGCAAUUUUGUCAAAAUUUCAACAAUUGAAGAAACAAUGAUCACAAACGGAACAUGUGAAUUUUGAAGUUGAAUAAAUCUUGAGAUACAUACAACAAAGCCUUGAAACUUUAGUCUUCACAAUUUGAGCACGCACUAAAUAUUAAACAAGUAUAGAACAAAGCUUAUUUUUAGCUUCUUGUGCGAACUGAACGCGCUGAAAUGUGUGUUUUUUUUUUGGAUUUUUGGAAUUUUUUAAAUUCAUUUAUGUUCGCUGCCAUCUUUUUCUUCGCUGGCGUCUUCCUCCUCUGUAGUUUGCUGUGCCUAUAUAUCCAACCAAUAAAUUGGGCAUUAAAUGCGAAUGAAUGAUGAAUAAAAUGAUUAAAAAAAAACAAACAGAGAAAAUUAUAAUAUAACACAUAUAUUGAAAGAGAAAUUUUGAUUUUAGGAUAGAUCAAUUAGCUAUCACAAACGAAAAUAUUAACCAACUAUGUAUAGAGUCAAUUAAUUUAAAGUUCUCAAGAAUUACCUCUGCUCCAGAAUUCUCGGAAUCAUCUUCUCCUUCUGAACUUGGACGAAGCUUGGGACAAUUACUAACAAAUACAGACUCGGCAGAUGGAAAUGGGAUCUGAUAACCCGCAGGCCAAAAGUUGGUGAGGUUUGGUAAGUCUUCCAGUCUCAAGUACCGAAGUUCAUUCAUAACAAUUUCAUUGUAAUCCGUGACGUCUGCUCCAUCUUUAUGCCAGAAUACUUCUUCUAAUUCAUCAUUACCUAUUAUGUAUAGGCGCGACAGUUUUUGAAGACUUGGAGCUACGCUGAUAUGAAAUAGAUGCUUGAGUUUGAGGCAAUAACUGACAAUGAUGAUUGUGAGUUUUGGGAAACAUACAGGUUGGAGAUGAUCCUCAUCCUCAUCAAUGAUUUGCUCUAAUCCCAAGCAGUUAACAAUACCUAACAUCUCCAAUUGCAACAGAUUUCGAGCAAGUGUUGAUGAGAAGAGACGUCUCAGCAUAGUGCACCCCUUUACAGUUAAUCCAGUAAGAUUUUGCAGGCUAAAAUUAUGCGCGGGACCUUCAUGAUAUAAUAAUACUUGCAGUUCUGGAAGAUCUUCCAAAUGCAACGACUUCAAACAUGGGAAUAGUUUGUUUUCUUGUCCCUCAGCGAUAAUAGCUUCCACUUGAAAUACCACCUGUACUCCAAGUUCUCUAAUAUCCAAUCCUUCCAAAUUUUUUAAUCCGUGCUUCAACAGUGCUGGAAUCGUGUCACUCAAAUGGGAACAAUUGGCCACAUCUAGAGUAUUUAAGUUCUGAGACAAAUAAAUAAAUAACUUGAUGCAAUUAAAAUCUAUUAGCAGCUAGGAUUAUCACAUGAUAAGUGAUGAACACCGCAAAAAUAUCAUAAUACAUAUGUAAACUAAUAAAAUAAUUAAAAAGUAAUGGAUUUUUAAAAAAAAAUUGAAAUUAGUUAAAAGAGAUCAUGUGAAGUGUAUAAAUGUGACAUUAUAUUGUUUGAGAAAAAUUAGUAUUCUAUUAAUUUCUAUCGAUUGAUCAACUAAUUAAUUGAAUUUGAGUAAUAUAAUAUACACUUUAGUAGUGUUUGCAUCAAUUCUUUCUACAGCGAAAUGAGAUAUGACUUUCAUUUGAAGAAUGAUUUUAGGCUCUAAAAUAAAGAAAUUUCCUUAAGAUAUUUGAGCAUUAUUAUUAUCAUCACCACAUCCACGAUCAUCAUCAUCUCCAUAGGACCAAAUAAUUAAUGGCUGAUCAUAAAAUUUAUUGCUAAACUAUUAUUUCGAGUAAAAUUGAAGGAAAAGAAAAAACAUAAACACAAACGAACAUACCUCUCCAAGAUACUGCAAAUUGGCUUCAAGUUCAGUAUUGUUGACAGUCAAGUUGGGACAUUUAUGAAGGUCUAACUGUUCCAAUGCUGGCCAAAUUGAACAAUAAUUUUCUGAACAGAAGCUGACGAGUUCUGGGAGAUUUCGAAGUGUUAAUUCUCUUAACAAAGGGAGGGCGAGCAUCGUAUUUCCAUCUCCGACACUUAUUUCCCCUUCAUUGUGAUCAAACUUUGCUUCGACAAUACAUUCUAGCCUGUCGCAAUAAGUCACACUGAGACAUUUAAGCUGCUCCAAACUUCGGGCUUGUGACAACGUGAAGAUAUAUGUCAACUUGUUGCACCUUUGCAAAUUCAAUUCUGUGAGAGUUUGGAGGCUGAUCACAUGUUGGGCGGGCGUCUUCCAUAUCCACUUCAGUUCUGGUAAUUCCUGCAUAAAUAACUCUGCUAAUCUUGAGAGCACCACAGGAUUCCCACUCUUUCCAUGUGGCAACUUAGAGGCGCCCAUUAUGCAUUCUAAAUCCUCACAUUGUUUGACAAAUAGACGAGUCAACUCAUUUAAGCCCCUUUCAUCUAUGCUUGGCACAAUAUUAUGACAACCUAUUAACCCCCUCAAACGAAGAAAUUUCAGAUUUUGAUACAAUGCUGAAAAAAUAACGAGCGAGGUCGCUUCAUGAGGGUAAUUCUCAAUGAUUAAGCUCCUUGUUUCAUCACCAUGUUCCAUGUCAUGAGCAGAUAAUUGACCAUUACUGAUGACGUACCUUUGCAUUUUCGGGAAUGUAAAGUCUUUUGGAAGACAUAUAACUUGGGAGUUCAACUCAGCAAGCCUAGCAUUACUUUCUUCUGAACUCAUCCCUUCAACCUCCCAAUUUUUUAUCCGACCAUAAAAUUCUUCCAAUUGAGGAAAUUUUUUUAUCCCAAUGGGAGAAACAGAACCGGUAUCAAUAUAUAGAAGUUUCAAUCUACGAAGUUCAUCCGACAAUUCUUCAAGAAUUUUAAUGGGAGACUUCUCGAGAAAAAGAAGUUCAAGCCUCUUCAACUUUCCAAGGAAAGACGCGUCACUCACCUCACAUCGAAUCAAUUGCAGAACCUGGAGGUUGGUGAGGAUCUGAAGCGAUUUAAGUGAAAGAACUCCACCUAUUAUAGUGACAACUUUCAAUGCUGGCAUCCCUUCAAAAAAAUGUUCUGGAACUUGCAAUCGGUGGUCGUAUUCAGGAUUCUCCAAUCGCAAAAUAUGAAGGUUAGGGCAUACCAAACCACUAGGAAGCUCUUCUUUUUUAUUUCCCACCAAAGAAAUUCCUCUGUAUUGUUCCAGGCCUUCUUUCAUUGCCCGUUCAGCCAAUCCAAUGCCAACUUUACUAAAAAAUUUCUUCUCCUCUAGAACUAUUGAGCCUAUCCAUAUGGCUACAUCACGAACUAUGUCAUGCAUUUUCACAGAUCUGUCAUUACCAUUGUCUAACAGCAGUGACGCAGCUUUGAGCGCGUUAAUCGUUCCAUACAGUCGGCUUCUGGCGUUUUCUAUUGACGGAUCACAUUGAUACCAAAUAACCCCCACUGCGUAUCCAACCAAAUCCUCCAAAUAAAUCUCAUAAUCUUCUGGAAACAGAGAACACAACAAGAAGCAUAACUUGGACUCCUCACUAUUUAAAUUGUCGUAACUGAAUUUGAGACAACCGUAAACGUCUUGGUCAUCCUUGUCAAUACCUUCUAUUGCAUAGAGUUUUGCUUCCCUUAGGUUAUAUAGUGCUAGAUUCCAAUCAUCAAAUCCUUUUUCUAUUAGUGCACUUCCAACAGCUUCAAUAGCUAAAGGCAGCCCCUUACAUUCGUCAGCAACUUGUUCUGGAACACGAUCCAAGGAGGAGUCGUUUACAUUAAUACCGGCAUUCAUUUUUAGGAGAGUCAAUCCUUCUUCUGGCGUUAGUGUACUAAGUUGAAUCUGUGUGUCACAACCCAAAGAAUCACAAACUGACUUUUUGCGAGUGGUUAGAAGGAUUUUGCAACAAUUAUCUCUACCACCGACGGUAAUACCUAAUUUUUUCUCCAAGUCGAGCUCUUUCCAGACAUCAUCGAUGAUUAUGAGGAUCUUGGUGCUUUUACUGUCAGAAAACAUCGAGCGCAAUCGGUCUGCUCCAUGUUUUUCAUCUUUCUGUUUUAAUUCCCAACCUAAUGAAUUUGCCAGCUCGUUUUGAACAUUUAUUAUGCUUGGAUCCUGAGAUACAGUGGCUAUCCCCACCAUAUCGAAAAUGUUUUUUUCCCGAAGUUGAUUGCCCACAAAUUUUGCCAGGGUUGUCUUUCCUACACCACCGAGACCAUGCAAUCCCACCAUCUUUGUGCUCUCUUUUUUCAGUGCGUCAAUGAUCUGAUUGCAAGCUGAUUCUGUGGUCUCGAAAAUAGAAGUAAAAUGACUUGGCAAACUUAAUUCUCUUUCUAAUGGUAGAGGUUUAGGAAAGGCAACUGUGUUGAAUUGGCUGCAGUCUUGUAGCAGAUCAGACAACUUGCUAGUCUUCUGUGAUGCUUUUCUACCCAGCCAAUAUCGGCAACACCAAUUAGGACACAAUCCAUGAAGACUACUAUCCUUUUCAUCUAUCUCUGCUUGCAACUUCCAAACAUCGUCCAAUUCUUCGACUCCAUUAUUCAGCCACUCCAUUACAUUUCCAUUGACUACUAUGUCGGGGCAUUUUCGUAGCUCAUCGUAUAUUCUUGUUUUGAUGCCAUCUCGUGCCUUCUUCAACUUAGUUUCUUUAUCCUUAAGUUCUUUAACAAUGCUGUUGAAACAGAACAUAUAGCGAGCUUGGUCAAUUGCUGCAUUCACCAAUAAUUCUUCAACCUUUGAUUUUAAAGCUUCCAUGCUAUUUAUCUGCAAAUAACGAAGUUGAUCUCAGCACGCUAUUAGCAAAACAACAAGGCUUGAUCACUAGACAAAAUGAGAACGUUUAAUUACCUUUUUCUGUACUGUGAAUGCACGUCUAUUAACACCAGCUUUGACCAAUAAGAGCAAAAUGCAGAGGCCGGGGGGGGGGGCUUAAGAGUUUCAGUGGCCUUUAGCUGCAAAACGGAAGAUGACAAAUAAGGUAAACGUUCCCAGCAAACGUGAUUUACGGUGAAUUAUAUUCAAAUUAGAUUAUUUUAAAAGUUGGUAAAUUAUUUAUCACUCUAUCUUAAUGAUACCUUAUUUGGGAUGGUAAAGAUUGGGGGUAAACUCCCUUUUAUUCUCACAUGUUUAUAGUAUUUAUAUUUUUAUAAAUUACCUAAAACAUCCACGUCACUACUUUUAUGGCUAUUGAACAUAUCAUUUCAAAUAUAAAAUACUAUUUCGGUCUAAUAUAAAUUAAAAAUCAAACAAAUCUAUUGUGCAAUAAAUGAAAAGUAAAGAAUAUUAAUUAGGUUUUAAUGGAAACAAAUAUAAAACAUAGAGGUUUUGAGUAACUUUUGUGAUUUUUUUUUUAAUGUUCAAUUUAGAAUUGAAUAAUUUGCAUAAUGAAAUUUUGAGGUUUCUAUAAUUUAUAUGAAGAUAAACUGAAAAAUAAGUUUAUAUGCCGAAAUUAAAAUAGUUAUAUAUUAGCAAUCAUAUAAUUAUCAAAAAAAUUAAUAAAAUUUAUUUAAAAAUUGGCCAAUUGUGUUUCAUGAGGAAAACAGAGAGCAUAAUGGACUUAUGUUGGGUCUUGGGAUUGAAGGACUAAGGGCAAGGGGCUGGGAGGUAGGACGGUAGGAAAAUUAAUUUUUUUUUUUUUUUAAAGUAUGGUCAACAUUAGUGACUUGGAGGUGAUUGCCGUUAAUCAAUUACCUUUAACUUAAGAAUUAAUACAAAUAAAUGGCAAAAAUAAUUUAAUGAAAAUUAAUUUAAUAAAAAAUUGCACUAAAAACUUAGAACUCAAAUUCUCGAUCAUUUUAUCCGUACGUUUUAAUCCGACGCUCAGAAUUGGCAUAAAACAAACUAAUAUAGCCAUUGGAAGUAAAACAAACAUCAAAUCAAGAGCCUAUGAAACGAUAAUAUCUCGUACCUUCUUCCUUAUAGAUCCUCAAUUGCUGCUGAAAGCUGCAUAUGACAAUAUAAAUAAACAUGAGAUCAAAACAUCAUAGGAUAUAUCUAACCAAUUAACAUCAUAUAUAACUCCUUGUUCUCAGUCAAAUCUUUCAUUCUUAGAUUAAAAAAAAAAGAAAUAAUAACUGUUAAGUGAUAUAGGAAGCAAAAGUAACACACCGAAAUGAAAGCAGCAAGUUCACAAAUGACAGAUGCGGUGACUUCAAGAGCAUGAAAAAUGAUUAAACUUUGGUAGAAAGGUCUGAGCCGUGUUUCACAAGUUGCUAUUGACUUCGUGGCUUCGCUUUUAUUUAUUAUUAUUAUUAUUUUUUUAAAUUCUAUAUCAGUGAGAAUUGAAAUGUGGAAAGUGUAAUGAUACACAUGCCUUAUCAUCUAUCAUGAGGGGUGAUUUGGUAAAACCGAUUUAAAAUAAAAAAAAGUUUAAAAAAAUUGAAAAAAGAUGCUUUGUGUCUGACUGCCUGUAUUUGGGGUAUUUUUCGGGUUGUUGAGAGUCAGUUUAAUUAAAUAUAAGAUUUUCAUUUUUCUUAUUAUAUUUUUCUCUUUAGAAUGAAUUUAAAUCUCAUUCUUAUUAAAUCCAUUUUUUUAAAUGAAAGUAGAUUUCUCUCCACACAUUUGAGAUAUAUUUUAAAAUUAAUGUUCAGCAUAUCUCUAAAUUAUAUUAUAAAUAUUUUUAUUUAAAAUCUCAACAAAUUUCAUAACACACAGAGAGAAAUACAUAUAUAUGUUGUAAUGUUUUAAUGAUGGAUCUCUAAAGUUGUCAAGUUAAAAAAUAAAUAAAAAAAUAAAAAAUACACACUUCAACUUAUUAUAUGAUAAAAUAUAGUAUAUUAAAGUGAGUAUUUUUUGUGUGAAAUAAAAUUAAAGUGAGUACUAUUACCACCUCACAUCUUAUAAAUUCUAGAAAAUAAUCAAGGCUUGACAUACUUUUAUUUAUGCAAAAGCAUAAGAAAAUAAUUCAAAGUAAUAAUUAGUGUACUAUUCCUCAAAAUUCUAGAAUAGAUUUGUUAGUUCUCUUUAUCUAUAGAUUGGUCCAUGAUUGGCAUCGCAAUAGCUCAGAAUCGCCUCAACGAUUGUUCCACACGGUCCAAGUCUUCUUAGCAAUAGUUUUAGAGAAAGUGUUUAGUAGUUCCAAGUCUUCUUUUUUUAACACAAAUGUUGGCAUGAUAUUCUUAAUAUAUUUUUAAAAUCAAAAUAAGAUGCAUAGAGGACAAUAAUUUUAUUUGAUAAUUGAUUUUUUUGCAAAGAAAGUUUGAACAUGAGAGUGAUGAGAGAUGAGAAUAUUGAUGAUGGUGUGUACUUUAGAUGGAAAAAUAGAUUGGAAAUAUAUAUAGACAUAUUAAAAGAAAAAAAUUUGGUCUAUUUCAUAAGAGAAACAAAAAAUUAUAAACGCAGGUGUUAAAAUGUAUUCAGAAUUUAUAAAUUUUUAUAAAUAUGAUAAUCAUUAGACCCUUAUAAAAGUAUAGCAAAAAGUUUAAAAUUUUUUAAUAAAUGUCGAAGAGAUGGACGAAGAAACCAUCCACCAGUUCAGAAUUAAUAAUCAAAGAUAUGAGGAUUCGAUCGAAGAAAUGGUGAAAAAUAAAAGGUCACGGGAUUGGUUAGUGGGACCCUAACAUUAAUGGUAAAAAAUAAAAGGACACUGGGUUGCUAUCAAUUUUUACAGUGUAGGUUCAUAGCCGGGGAAGUAAUUGGGCACAAAUAUCUCGGAUGAGAAAUAUCCAUUUUAUCCCGCAACUUUAUGUUUAUGGCCUCUAAAAAUUUUCACCUCUUUCACUUCUGGAACCCGUGCUUUCUGGCACAUGCACAAUACUUGGUUGCUACUUAUAAAGCGUUUUUACAAUUGCAACGACAUGGUGCUCUUUGAUAAUUCAAAAAUCCAAUAUAAUUUAUAGAGAAUUACAGAAUUGUGGUACGUGAUAAUUUGCUGACGCAAUGAGGCGCCUAAAUUCUUAUACAUGGGAUUUAAGUUAAAUAUGUAUAAUUAUGUAAUUAGAAAAUACUAGUUGGGGGUAUUUGUGUCCAUGAAAAUUUACAGCUGGUUGUUGACAUUACACUGCGGGUGUGUAAGUGUAAUCAUGGAUCUGACCAUUCAAAUUAAAAAAUGGGGGUCCCACUAACUUACGGAGUUAGUAAUUAUUACAUAUGCAGAUAUUCUCCCAUACGAUAACCUUAUCAUAAAUUUAAAGGAUACGAGGACUUGAUUGAAGAAAUGAAUGAAUAUUUGAAUUAAAAAAAAUUUAUAAUAAAGACAAGUAUUAAUUUACUAUGAAUGUAACUUACAUAUGCUGUAAGUUAGCGGGACACUAUUGAAUCACAAGCAAAAAACAAUCUGUCUUCUUCUUGAUUCCGUAAUUUGGCUGUCAAAAUGUAAUCUAUAAAGAUUACGAUACCUCGAUUCAAAAAAAUAUUUUUUUUUCUUAUGAAAUAAAUGAAAACUGAACACCAUUCAAUUAACCGUUUAUUUCCCCUUAAAUUUUUAAUCUCAAUGAAACAUAGAUCUAAUGGGAACUACACAUAUAUAAAAAUACUAUAGAUUGAAGAAGUUGAAUUUUUCUUGUGUGUUAAGUAUUUUUGGUUAAUACGAAAGGAUUCUAGCAAGUUAAUACAAAAGUAUCAUAAAUUCACUGUAGUACAAGAUUUUUUUUUUUUUCCUUUGAUGUUAAGAGUUUUGGAGAUUAAAAAAAAAAGAUGAAAGAAGAAGAUGAGAGAAGAAAAAAUAUUAAGAAUAGUUUUGGCAUUUUGAUGCGUUUUAUAGAGUAAAAUUUAUAUUUUAUAGUAUAAAAUGGUACACCCAAAAUUUAAUGAUAAAAUUUUAGGAAAAAAUUGCACUCGUCAAAAAAAAAAAAGAGGCUCAGCUUAGCCCAAAAUUUUUUUAUUAAUCGUCUAGUCACAAAUGUAAUCUCUUUUUUAUGAGAUUCUUUGGCGUUUUAAUUUAGUCCAUUGUUAGCAAUCCUAAUAGCUUUUAUGUGCACCUAUUUUUAUGUGAAAUAUGUUUCAAGCUUGAAUAAAAUCUGCGGGACAACUGGUAAGUAAUAAAGCUCAUCAUUUUUUAUUUUGAAAAUAAAGGGAAUCACUUACACUUUAGCACGAUAUUAUUUUUGAUAAGUCAUUUUUUGGAUAGAUUAUUUUUUCUGACGGGUAAUUUUUAGGACCUCUCCUGAAAUUUGAUGUAUUAACACUUAGAUGAAAUGUAUCCAUAUAAUUACAUAUACCUCCCCUAUUGUUAAUAUAAAAAUAUGUAUAGCGUCAGAUAAAAGGGUAAAUAUGUAAAAAUAUAUUUAAAAUUAAAAAUAUUUACUUUUACCAAAUCAUUAAAAUUUUGACCCACUUGCCCGCUGUUGGCCCAACCUUGACCAGCCGGUCAUGGCUCCACCGGCGACUGGUGGUGGUGCUUUGCCACUGCCGGAGUCCUCUCCUCACACCUGCGACCAAUCCCAUUCACGGCAGCCUUUGAAUCAACUGCAUCAACCAACACACAUUAACACAAGUACACGGCUUUUUGAAGUCUCUUUUGUUUUGCGUUUUCCCUUCACUGAGAAAAUUUGUCAGCUAAUAUAAUAAGCUUUGUUGCCUUAGAUUUGAGAUUACAGAGUCCUGAGCAGAUGUUGUGGCUGUGAUGUGGGUUUUAUUGUAUUUGACUAAUAGGCAAAAUACCUUUUAUUGGCCUACAAGGACGGUGCCUUUUUCUUCUUGUUGGGGAACUUCGUGAAGAAUCCAGCUUGCUUUUUUCUUCCUUUUCUUUCUUCAUUUUAAUUCAUUUUUUAAUUUAUAAUAACUUUUUGAGAUUGAAUUAUCGGCUUCACAUGUAAACAAUGGCAUUUGGUAUGUCACAAGUGCAUAGUUAUUCUUAUUUUUUAAUUUAUUUUUUUCUGAUGUUUUUGUUGCUGGAAUUAAUUUCUCAAGGUUUUGGCAUCACUCCCCAUUGGAUUUGCUAUGUUCAUGGUACAAUUGGCCACAAUCCCAAUCACUCGCACUGGAAUUAACCCAGCAAGGAGUCUCGAAGCUGCUGUUAUUAACAAUAAGGACAAGGCUUGAGAUUGACCAAUGGCUCUUUUGGGUGGUGGUGCUUUGCCACUGCCGGAGUCCUCUCCUCACACCGGCGACCAACCCCAUUCAAAGCAGCCUUUGAAUCAACUGCGUCCACCAACACACGUUAAUCCAAGUAUGCUUUUGUCUCAUCAGAACCCCCACACCCCCGCUGCCCCUUUGGCAAUCGCCGACGCCACCCAAUAGCGGCUAACAUCACCCUUGAACCAUCCCGAUACCAUGCCGCAACCUCUAGCAUCCCAAAACCCAAACUGCACACAACUCUCAAAACCCUUGCUCGAGCUUGUCACGCCGCAUACCACUGCCGUAAUUUGUACCAACAGUGAUGGUUCCAUAUCGUCACUGUCCAUCCCCUCAACCAACCCCCCAUGCAACCCCGACCUCAAUAACAUCUCAACAACCACGAACGCACGAUUUCUUCAACCUGCACUUACGGCCACUUUUAAUGAAAUUCUCACUGCCAACGGAAUUCUCAAAGUUAUAUAUAAUAAUUUAUUAUUUCAGCAGCAAGGAUAGUUUAAUAAUUUUAAAUGUUUAUUAACGGUCAUCUUAAUUAGUAACUAACGGCAGGGGAGGUAUAUGUAAUUACAUAAAUACAUUCUAUCUAAGUAUUAAUAAACCAACCCUCACAGAAGGUCAUUAGAAAUUAUCCUUUUUCUGACAGGCUCUUAGAUUUGGGAAAAUAAAUUGUGUACUUUUAAUGAAGAAAAGUAAAAGAUCAAUAAAAUAUUUUGUUGUUUUCGACAAUUUUUGCGUUGUCAAGUGCGCCUGGUACCUUUUUUUUUUUUUUAACUUUUGAGUUGUUGUUUAAUUUGUAUUAUAAUUAAUUAUCAUGGACCCACGUGCCACUGUUUCCAUUUCAAGUUUCAUAAUUUAACAGUGGAAAUGGGUUCCACAGAUAAUUUAUUUUAUAAUUUUUUAAAAAAAUUAUCAAAAUGUAAUAAAUAAGGUAAUAAUAAUUAAUAAAAAGUAGAUUUUAAGAUGGAAAAAUCUUUUUGUGUACUUAAUAAAAAGAUGAUAAGAUUGGGAUGCUUUUGGUUUACAUUCUCAUAGCUAUUUCUACUGAAAAAUUACAUCAAAAUUUAAUUAAUAAAUCAGUGAACUGCAGACUUAUUAAAUUUAAGCAAUUUUAAUAAGUCAUAAAUAUACUAAGUUAAAAUAGUAGUAAACCCAUCGUUACACAAUUCUCUCCAUUGAAUGUUCACCACUUUAAGAUAAUCAUAAAAUGACACUGGAUGUGCUAUUAUCUGUUUCAUUAAAAGCCUUCACAAAAUAAAAGGCCGGUGAACAAAGUUGGUCAUAGAAAAAAGGAGCAUAGAGCACAUACAUCCAGUUUUUAUAUCCUCUGAUACUGAGUCGUCACAUGCUAAUGCUAUAGACUAUAUGAUAAUCUACUAAGGUGACGCAUGCCAAUGCUAUAGACUAGCUUUUCAAAGGUUGAAGUGGGUAUACUUUUAGUAAAAAGACCUGCAAAAUUAUAAUGUAUCUAUUUGACAUCAACUUUUUUUAUCUGCUGGAGCUUAUGAUUAUAGAAGAUCUUCGGUAAGAUGUGUUUGAUUUUAUCUUCUUUUAUAUAUCCUCCUCUAACUUGUGUAAUAGUAGUAAACCCCUGCCCGUUUUUAUUUCGUUUAGUAUUUUCUAAAUGGCCGAAGGAAAAUUGGUAAAAACUCAUUUAAAAAUAAAAAAAAAUCAAAGAAAUUCAAGAAGAAGCUUUCUAUCUGCCAUUUGUAUUUGGGGUAUUUUUUUGGUUGUUAAGUGAAUGAGCUUAAAUCUAAAACAUUUAUUUAUAUAUUUCUUGUUGGAAAGAAUUUAAAUUUUAUUCUUAUUAGACUUAUUCUCUUUAAACAAAGGUAGAUUUUUCUCUAUGUGUUUAACGUGUAUUUUAAAAUUAAUGUUCAACAUAUCUUUAGAUUCUAUUAUAAAUAUUCAUAUCUAAAAUCUCAACAGAUUUCAUAAUAUAUAAAGAGAGAGAAUAACGUUUCUAAUAAAAAAUUUAUUAAGUUAAAGAAUAAUUCAAAAGAUAAAAUAACACACUCCAAUAUAUUAUAUAAUAAAAUAUAUUGUAUUAAAAUAUAUAUUUUGUUUACUUUUUUUAAUAUAUCUCCUAAUAACUUAAGAAAUCAUUUAUUUAACUAUAUAUAUAUAGAGAGAGAGAGAGAAAAAUGUUCACGAGAAACCUUUAAAACUGCAUGGUUUUAAAUGUUUAAAAUGUAAGAACCGAUGAACAAUUUUUGACAAAGACGUUGCGACCUAAGUAGGGAUAGCAACUAAAUUCGGAUCCAACUCGGAUAUGUAAGGAUCCGAAAGAUCCAGAUCCAGAAAAUUUUUUAUCUGAAUAUUAAAAAAUGUUGAUCCGGAUAUAGAAAUUUGGGAUCUGCACGUAUUGGGAUGGAAGUACAUUCGGAAAAUUGGAUAACGAGAUCUAGAUAACUUUUGUUUCAAAUUAAAAAUAUAUAUUAAAAAUUAAAUGAAAAAUUAAAAAAGUAAAUUUCAUUUGUGGAUUUAUGAUGUUGUUGUAUAUUAUUCAUGUUGAAUUAUUAAUUGCUGGAUAUGAUUGAAUUUUUUUUGAAAUUAUUGGGUAAAUUUUUGAAUUUUAUUUUAAAUUAAAAAUAUUUAUUAAAAAUUAAAUAAAAAUAAAACAUUAAAUUUUAUUUGUAAAUUUAUGAGAUUAUUGUAUGUUAUUCAUUUUGAAUUAUUAAUUGUUGAAUUAUGAUUAAAUUUUAUUUGAUAUUAGUAGGUAAAUUAUUAAACUUUCAAAUUAUAUAUUAAAUUAUUUAAUUAUAAUUUUUACGGAUCCGAAUAUCUAGAAUAUCUGUUCGCAUCCGGAUCUACAUAUUUUUUUACGAAUCCAGAUAUAAAAAUAUGAAUGUGGAUCCAAAUUCGGAUUUUGCCAACCCUAAACCUAAGCAUGAAUGUGCCUAAAGUUUUUACUAAGAACAUGGAUCAUUCAAUGACACGACAUGUUUUGCAGCUCUCAUUAGUAUAAUUGAAUAAUUAAUUCAUCUCUAUAUUCAGCUUACACCGUCUCAAAUUGCAUGCAAAUACGAAAGUACACUUUUGAAUCGUUCACUUGAGGAAAAUUAGAUUCUCCACGUAGAAUUUAGAUUCAAAGCAUAGCAAAUUAGACAUAAUUCUAAUUUAUAUGGGAAAUAUAAUUAGCGAAGACACUCUUUAUAUAAACAUUAUUGUCAUAGGAUGCCAAACCUAAUAAGAUUCAAGAUCUUAACAUACUUCAUAUGAAAUUUGAUCUUGACGCGUACCGACACGCAUAACAUCAAGACUCUACUUCAUAUAAUGUAACUUCAUGGAUUUUUCGCUCUCUUGUGAAAUUGACAAUUAUGGGCGCUGUGUGGCAGUGGUACAUAAUAAAAUAAACAUUUAUUUUUAGAAUAUUAUUAUUUAUCUCAAUUUUUUAUUUAAUAGUUAAUUUUAAUCAAUUCUUAAACUGUCAUAAUCAAUUAAUUUUUUACAUUAUGGUAUCUUAAAUAAAUUUUGGAUCUGUAAUAAAUAAAAACUGGUAACGUUUGUUCUUUUAAAACAUAAAACAACCGUAACAUUGGUUUUUACAUUUUGAAUUUUUCUUGCAUCACUAUUUAGAAAAAUGAUGUUAAAUCAACUCACAAAAUAUAUCAAGUCAUCUAAAAUCCAAAUAUUAUUACAUUUGUAUUUGUAUUGUUAAAUUGUUGGAACGACGGCAAAGCAAUUGAAAAGAGAUUAACAAAAAAGUAAAGAUUGGCCAAGGAUUAUUCAUGUUUAGGAAAUGCCUUAACUUUUGAUAUAAUCAUUGUUAUAAUUAUAUUGUAGAAAUAAUCAAUUACCUGUGUUUAUGUUGGUCUCCUUUUUUUCCAUUUCUGUACAACGAAAUAUUUGCAUGUUUUGAUAGAAAUUGGUUUAAAUGACAUUUAAAAUUGUAUAUCCCCAGACAAUUAACGAAAUAUUUGGAUGGUAGGAUGAAGUAAUAAAUAGUUUUACAAAUUACCAUAUUAGAGGUAAAAAAAAAUAAAAUCGAGAGGUUACUUGACAAUUAUGACGUUACUAACUACAAAUUUAACACAAAAAGUUUAAUUAACUUUUCUUUUUGAGAUGACAAAAUCUCUGGUGUUGAAAACAAUGAGGUUUGAGGUUCAAGCUUGAAUAUUAAGUUACAAUUAGUAGAUGGUCUUAGGACAUAUCAAAGAUUUCUUUAAAGACAAAAUAAUUAUUAUAAGCAAUAGGAAAUUAUGGUAUUCAGAACAUGUAACCUUCGCACAUGAAGCUUGAAUCCAGAACAAGAUGCAGCUAGCCAAUCCUUCCAACUUCCAAAAACCCACAAAAUCUCUGUCAACAUGUCUGUUCUACUUCAAUAAUAAGCACAUUCAUAGCGGUAUCAACAGCUUACAGCGCCAAAAUAUUUUCCCCAAAAAGAGUGAGAGAUUUCACUGAAGCUAAGUUGUGACUUGUGACUGCCCAAAUGUUCUAUAACACGAUAUGAUUAUUCUAGUAACAUCAACAUUUGCAUCCUUCUGUAUCUGUCUGAGCUCCUGAAGCAUGAUACCCGGUUGCCCAGCAAAAGAUGCAGCUAUCACAAUGAAUAAGGGAACAAAAUAGAUAACAAAGUCACAAAAACAAAGCUAAUCACAAUGAAUGAUAAGGUUUAGAGUAAACAUAAAGUUAUAAUCUUGAACAUAAGUGGCGCUCUUGAGGAAAAAAAAAAUUCAUUCUAACACAACAGAAUAAAUUGUAAAGAAAUCCCAGUUUGUAUAAAAGAAAGAAAACAAAAUUAAGGAAAACAUAAGCACAACAAAAUUUGACUGAUUAUUAAAAAUGAGAAAUGAGUUAUAAUGAGAAUUUUGGCUUUGUGGUGAAAUAAAUUGGGAAGUAUCCAAAGUUCGCAUGUAAAUAAUAUAAAUGAUAAGAAGACGAAGGGAACAAAAUGAUAAUAAGCAAGCCAAAUAUUAAAAUGCAGAUUCUACGCUUCCGCCCCCCCAUACUUCAAGUUAGUGUCUCGCUAAUCAUUUUAGAUGUAUCAAUUACAAAGGGAGGCCAUCUAUUUAUGGUAAGCGUACGCCUCUAAUGCUUUGCCAAGUGUCCAUUGAUAAUAUCACAAGGGCAAUUAAAUUGGUGUAUGUGUAUUACACCUCCUAAAGUCAUGUUAAGAUAGUUAGUGAGCUGAUAAAGUUUGUUGCACGUGUGAGUUGGUUAAGUCUGCUAGAAAUGCAAACGUGUAAAGCUGAGUCAGCAAGUUAGUUAACGUUAUUAUGAAUGCUUAGAUUCAGCCCACGUGUAUUGUAUGUAAUACUUAGAUUCAGGUCACGUAGAUUGUGUAUACAACUUUCUAAUAUGAGUAAUGAUACAGCCACAAACUCUUGUACAAACUUAUUUUAUACAAACUGACGUGAUAUUUAAUUCAAACUGAUGUGGGCCAAGUGAUAUUUAAUUCAACCAAUCUUAUCAUGCCACAUCAGUUUGUACAAAAUAAAUUUGUACAAGAGUUUGUGGCUGUAUCAUUACUCUUCUAAUAUUAUUUAGAUCUCAAUAUAAAUACUUGUAAUCAACAAAUACAAUAAUAAGAGUCAUCAUUCUUCAUUUUCUCUCUGUUUCUCUCAUAUUUUCUCUGCAUCCAAACACAAUAUUCUCAGUUCUUGACUGGUAUUAGAGUCGCAGUUUAAUUGUCCUGGCUUCGUUAAGCACAAAUUCAAACACAAAUCAGUCUCCUUCAUUCUUUACCCUCACAAAUGCGAUCAAAUUGGACAGAUCUUACUAUACGAUCUGGAAAUCUCAGAUCCUCUCUUCAGUGUGUGCCAAUGGACUUGAAGGCUUUCUUAAUGGAACUAAAAUUUGUCCAGAUCAGUUACUUACUCAAGAGAUUGAAAGUUAUGGUGUUGAAAAUGUUGUUGGUGAAAGCUCAGCUGAUAGAUCUCAGGAGAAUCCAGCCUUUGUUGCUUGGAAGAGGUAGGAUCAAUUGUUAUUAAGUUGGCUCAUGUCCUCCAUCAGUGUUGAGAUACUUAAGUCUUGUGGUAAAUUCUGAUUCUUCUCAUAAACUUUGGACUAAUCUUGAAGAAAAUUUUUGGAUUAGAAAAUAUGGCUAAGAAAGCACACUUAAAAAAUGAUGUUAAGCAAUCUCAAAAAGGGAUCAAUGACAAUAACUGAGUAUUUUGCCAAACUUAGAGCUGUAACUAAUAAACUUGCUCUAACUGGUAGACCUGUUUCUACUCUAGACUUUAUUACUCAUCUAAUCUCUAGAUUAGGCCAGCCAUACUACCCUGUUGUUGUGUAUAUUGAAGCUAAUAUGUUGAAAAUAUUUGUCAAUGAAGCCUAUUCUAUGCUUUUAACUCAUGAAGCAAGAAUUAAAUUUAAUCAUCCGAGUGCAAAUAAAGAAGCAAAGUUGAAUUAUGCUGCUAACAUAGCUUUGGCUGGACCUAGUAAUAACAAUAAGAAGUCUAGUAAUCAAGCUAAUUACUAUCAGGGCAACCAAGGUAACUGGAAUAGAAAUGCUAAUUGGUGUGGUAACAAUGGAGGAAGAGGUGGCUUUGGCAGAGGUUUUUCAGGGCAAGGAAGGAGUAAUUAGAAUAAUGGUGGUCAUUGGAACAACGAACCUUGGAGUAGUAGUCGAGCAGGUUAUAAUUGUUCUGAUAUAAACAUUAUGACAUGGUUGUUGGUGAACCUGUAAACAUAACCACAAAAGUAAGAAGGCAUAAUCUUUUUAUAAGAAACUCAAAAAUGUAUUAAUGAUGAAAAUUUUAAAACAGAUAGCUGACCAGCUGUUCACUAAGAAAACAAAAAACUGAAUAUUUGUGCUAUAAAAAGGCACACCCAAUCUCACCCCUAUAAAAGGCUAGAAUCAGCUACAAAUCCCUAUCUCAAAACCCCAUCCCAGUUUAGAUGAAUGAAGAAAAAAGAUGAAUCUUGAAACUCCUUAGAAACUGAAGCCCAAAGUGAAGCAAGAAGAUGAACUCUAUCCCAAGCAAGCAAUAUGGCAUAUUUCUCCAUUAAUGGUUCAAAUAAAGUGAAUGGCUUUCUCUGAUGAAUGGGAAAUUGUCAAGAUCAAUAGUCAAACUCACGCAAAGUAAACGGACUUAAUUCUCAGAGGCUACUCAUUCUAAGUCUUAAAGAAAAAUUUUCUAAUUUCUAAAGAUUAUAUGGGGAAAAAUCAUUAUUUUCUAACAUGGAAAAUUUGAUACGCUGUUUAAUGUCUGAUCACAAUCAUAAUAUGAGUACUAACAAAAACAUCUUUAAUCGGCAUGGUGCGAGUAAAACACCAUCACUUCAUCUUUGAUGGAAAGAUGAUAACAUAAAGAGAUGGUGAAAUGGUUUUGGUCCUUGGCAGCUUGUAAUCAAAAGAAAACAAAAAUCUACACUAUUAUUAAUGAUUACCGAAGCUACAGAAGUAUCAAAAUCGGAAAGUAAACAAUUGCAAAACACAUCAAUGACUGAAGGUUAGGUUCUAAAACUUCCGUAUUUAAUUUUCAAAGCAUGUUAUGUAUUAUUCAGAAAUAUGCUUUCACUUCAGGCACUUGACCAAGACGCAUUAAACAAAAAACGUGGCGUUUUCAUGGACUAGUACAUUCCAUGCUUCGAAAGUUUAUGUUUUAGACUGAUUCGUUUGAUACAUUAUUUGUUUAUUGCGUUUUUCUUGCUUUAAAUAUUAUGUUGGAUUGAUAAGUUUUGUACACAUUUAUAUUGCUCGCAGUAAAUAAUUUAUGACAUUUAAAAAACUAGCAACCGUCUAUCAAAAGAUUUCUACUAUAAAUAUAUAUACACAAAAAACUUUUAAUUUGGUCAAUUUGUUCUCUUAUUUAUUUUUGUUCUAUUUCUCUUUUCCUUUCCUUUCAUUUUAUUGUUUUAUGGUACAAAAUAAAAAAAUAACCUUAAAAUUUAGGGCAAAGCUAUGGUACCACAAUUGUAUGGUACCACAGCUGGAUCCAACCAUUGGAUCUAUCCCACAGUUGUCACCAGAAUUAGAUCCAAAGGCUGGAUCCAGCUGUGGUACCAUACAACUGUGGCACCAUAGUUAGACCCUAAAAUUUAAGGGUAAAAUACUCAUUUUACUAAAAUUCCGUUUAAUAUUAUAAAGCUGUCAAAUGUCAAUGGCAUAGUACACGAGUGAUACAAAUUAAAAACAAUAAAUGGCACCCCGGCUUUCGCAGCGUACUCAAGUGCAGCCACCACUCCAGAAUCUGGUACUGCAAUCACGACAUCACUCAACAGGAGCCUCGGUAGCAAGUACUUCCCCAAAAUGAUACCUCGACUCACAAACAUGUUGAAAAGUCAUGCACAUGACAUUCAAAUUCAAAAAUGCAUGCAAAAUUUCAAAUGGCUACCAAACAUUUGAAGAAAAAAAUGAAAAGUUGGCAAAUUUGUCAAAUUUGAGAAAUGGACACCAUUGACUAUUGGCUUAGGUUAGGUGGAAUAGUAAAGGGGUUGGUGCAAUAGUGCUAUUAUUUUUCCUAUAAAUAGAUGGCACUUAUUCCAUUCUUAAGCAUCCCAAAAUUGUUAAGCUUAUAAGUUUCUAAGAUUUUAAGAGAAGUGAGAGAAGUGUGUCUGUGGAAUUUAUCUUUCCUGCAGAGUGUGAGAGUACUGGGUAUAUUUAGGUUUUUGGGAAGUGAGAUUCGUUACUCAAAUAUUGUACUCUAUUAAUUGUUAAAUAAACAAUUAUUCUUUCUUACCUCCGUGGAUGUAGGUUUAAUUACCAAACUACGUAAUUCUUGUGUCCUUUAUUUUUUUGUAAUUAUUUGGUGCGCUUGAUUCCGCAUUCCGCGCACAACAAGUGGUAUCAGAGCCGACGGUUCGUACUUGGGGAGAUACGGUACUGUUCACGUAUACGGUAUUAUUCCCGUAUACAGUACUAUUCACGAAUACGGCGGAGACGGCCAUUUGUACUUGGGAGACAGUCUAUUAUAAGUAGUGUGUAUUUUUGCAUGUCUAGGAAAGUUUUGUCAACAAAGGCGAUAAGAGUCUAAGGAUUCUGGUUUUUAAUUGGGACCGAGUUCCCGUCCAGUCUCCUGAAAACUUUCCUGGUGCAUUUAUUCACGUGAAAUUAACAUUAUAGAGACUGUUUUUCAAGUGGAAAUAGUUCGUUGAGAAAAUGGUAGAAGGUGAAACUUCCAGAAUUGGGGAGAGAUCUACCGAGACUAUUUCAGGAGACACUUCAGGUGGGAGGCGAGAUUUGUCAAAUCGCUAUUCAGCACCUGUUAUAGGAGGCUAGAAGACCGAUGUUGAAAAGUUUGAUAGGAAAAUCAACUUCGGCAUGUGGAGGCGCGAAGUUAUGGAUGCCCUUAUUCAAAUUGAUCUCGGUGUUGUGUUGUUGAGAAAGAUCGAUACCAAAGAUAAUCCAUCAGAUAUAUUGAUGAAGGUAGUUUCUGGAGUUAAGUUUCAACAUUACUUGAAAUUAAUUCAAAUCCUUCAAUUGUAUUAAGAUAUGUCCUUCGGGAAUUAUGAACUACGGUUGGCUUGAUCCCAAAUUUUGGGUACGUAGGCAGUCGAAUCGACACAGCCAUUCUGGAUCCUUAUUGAAGGAUCACUUUGGGGAUGAGGGUUCAUUGGUAGUUGGCUCAGAUUUGGACAAAUUUUCGUCGAGGUGGAGAAUUGUUGAAAAGUCAUGCACGUGACUUUCAAAUUCAAAAAUGCAUGCAAAAUUUCAAAUUGCUACCAAACAUUUGAAGAAAAAAUGGAAAGUUGGCAAAUUUGUCAAAUUUGCCAAAUGGACACCAUUGACUAUUGGCUUAGGUUAGGUGGAAUAGUAAAGGGGUUGGUGCAAUAGUGCCAUUAUUUUCCCUAUAAAUAGAUGGCACUUCUUCCAUUCUUAAGCAUCCCAAAAUUGUUAAGCUUAUAAGUUUCUAAACUUUUAAGAGAAGUGAGAGAAGUGUGUCUGUGGAAUUUAUCUUUUCUGCAGAGUGUGAGAGUACUGGGUAUAUUUGGGUUUCUGAGAAGUGAGAUUCGUUACUCAAAUAUUGUACUCUAUUAAUUGUUAAAUAAACAAUUAUUCUUUUUUACCUCCGUGGAUGUAGGUUUAAUUACCGAACCACGUAAUUCUUGUGUCCUUUAUUUUUCUGUAAUUAUUUAGUGCGCUUGAUUCCGCAUUCCGCGCACAACAAAACAAACCUUCCAAAAACAACAGAAUUAGGCAAAGCAAAAUAAAUAUGCUCAAAGAUGCACUGCUUAGGUUCAGGGUGAGGCAUCAAACAAGGUGAUUGAACCCCAUCUUUAUCCACCAUCAAAACUUCACCGGGAUAUACCUCUCUCUCUCUCGCUCUCGUAUGUGGCCUCAAUCAAAUAGUGCACAAGUCUCUGACGCAAAAACC
This 44221-nucleotide long non-coding RNA is filed under the name Citrus maxima (pomelo). RNAcentral describes it as "long non-coding RNA (CMAX_LNC003394)". Lineage: Eukaryota; Viridiplantae; Streptophyta; Magnoliopsida; Sapindales; Rutaceae. The record is from RNAcentral.